CAGCCAGCAGCGAGGGAGGGAGGAAAAAGGGUGUCCUGCGGAUCGGUCCCGCUGAACUGGCCAGCAGCUGAAAGGCUGCGAGGAAAGAGGAAAGUUCAGCAGUGUCUACAAGAUCUGAAGGCUUCAGAAUGAUGAACAGUGUCACAAUGUCUGAUGCAAGCUCUGACUAUUUUGUAUGCACAUCCAACAUCACAAUCUGGUUGCAAAAGGGGUGGAACUUACAUCUCAAGACAUAUUUCAUCAUUUCCCCCCUGCCAGACACAAAGGGCCAACUCUUCAAGGAAGGAUUGUGUAGGACAAAAAUGUCCCCACUGUUCAGGUCCUCCAUCGGUUUAUGAAGCAUUUGAACCUGACAUGUGAUACUGCUUACUUUCCUGACCAUAGACCACGCCUCUGAGCUUCCAGUUUCCUGCUUUUGUAGAGUUUCAGCCAAGAUUAAUAAAAAAAUUAAU
Python bivittatus (Burmese python) is the source of this 452-nucleotide long non-coding RNA. RefSeq lists it as uncharacterized. Lineage: Eukaryota; Metazoa; Chordata; Lepidosauria; Squamata; Pythonidae. The record is from RefSeq and is a predicted model, not a curated record.